RNAcentral lists this ribosomal RNA (253 nucleotides) under uncultured bacterium. RNAcentral describes it as "partial 16S ribosomal RNA". It matches the Rfam family "Bacterial small subunit ribosomal RNA", at positions 524 to 776 of the family's 1533-position model. The record is from RNAcentral.
UACGUAGGGUGCGAGCGUUGUCCGGAAUUACUGGGCGUAAAGAGCUCGUAGGUGGUUUGUCGCGUUGUUCGUGAAAACUCACAGCUCAACUGUGGGCGUGCGGGCGAUACGGGCAGACUGGAGUACUGCAGGGGAGACUGGAAUUCCCGGUGUAGCGGUGAAAUGCGUAGAUAUCGGAAGGAACAUCAGUGGCGAAAGCGGCUUCCUGGACCAGAACUGACGAUCAGGCUCGAAAGCGUGGGGAGCAAACAGG